CGCGGGAUGGAGCAGCUCGGUAGCUCGUCGGGCUCAUAACCCGAAGGUCGUUGGUUCAAAUCCAGCUCCCGCAACCA
RNAcentral lists this transfer RNA (77 nucleotides) under Ruminococcus callidus. RNAcentral describes it as "tRNA-Met". It matches the Rfam family "tRNA". From Rfam's summary of the family: Transfer RNA (tRNA) molecules are approximately 80 nucleotides in length. Their secondary structure includes four short double-helical elements and three loops (D, anti-codon, and T loops). RNAcentral also lists the same sequence under 8 other names. Lineage: Bacteria; Bacillati; Bacillota; Clostridia; Eubacteriales; Oscillospiraceae. The record is from RNAcentral.